This is a non-coding RNA of Cyanistes caeruleus (blue tit), 963 nucleotides long. Lineage: Eukaryota; Metazoa; Chordata; Aves; Passeriformes; Paridae. The record is from RefSeq and is a predicted model, not a curated record.
GGCACGGCUCGGGAGGUUCAGCCCCCUCUGCAAUAAUGGUGACCGACUGCACGGCUAAGGGACUUGAAAGAUGGUAUUGGACGCCAGCCACAGUCAGCUUUUUAACUUAGAUUGCCGUUAUUUCAAUCUCCCGUUUAACAACACGUUGUUGACAGCCGAACGUUUGCGUCUCUAGGAUAGCCCUGGAGAGGCUGCUGCCCAGAUAUGGGAACAGAGAGGACGGGGACAGACAGGCUUCGGUUGAGCCUGGUAUCCAGCCAGGGUCAUUCCAUGACAGGGAAGGAAAGGCAACGCUGAUCAACGGAGGAGCAAGGUAAAGAAAGGCAAGGUAAGGGGUAAGCCAAGUCAAGACAGUUGCAUUGUAUAGAAGGUUAUGAUUCAGGUUACACAGGUAUAGAAAGUUGCGAUUCAGGUUAUACUGGUAUCUUACAACUCAAGCUAUACAAGCAUCUUGAAACUUUGACCCAAGUGAUGGAGGUAUGACCUGUCUGAUCUCCCUUGCCCUCGCCGUGCGCUCCGUUCAGAGCCGGGCCCACACGGGCCCGCCUUGGGUGUGCACACAGCGCCACCUGGUGGAGCUUCUGAGCCACGGCGGGAGCGAGAGGGCCACAAGGUGACGCUGUGCACCGACAGACAUGGCACUGUCCCCUUUGGCGGCGUCUUCAAUUUCUAGCUUUUAUAUCUUCCAGAUGCUGUACUGCGUUAGUGUAGGACUCUGAACUCCGUAUAGAGUGUUAGCAAGCUCUCUUCACAUUUUGGUCACACAAAACAAUCCUUCCAAGCCUGAGAACUAAAGACAUUCUUUGCCUCAGGCCCCAAAAAGUAUAAACAAAAGUGAACUGGGGAGCAGGGAGCAAACUGGGCGUAUGUGACUUCAUUACCAGAAGUUGUAAUUGGAAAAUUAACCCCUGAUAUGCAAAUAAACCAAACAUAUCUGUCUGACAAAGAUAUAAAACAAACUUA